ACAAGAGGGAAAAGGCAAAAAAAGGCCAUUUUAAUGCCUCCCCACCCCAUGGGCUGGACUGGGCUGGACUGGGCUGGACUGGACUGGACUGGACUGGACUGGACUGGACUGGGCUGGACUGGACUGGACUGGACCGGGCUGGACUGGGCUGGACUGGACUAGACUGGGCUGGACUGGGCUGAACUGGGCCGGGCUGAGAACGCGCCCAACUCAUCGCACAUCCCGCUCCGCUCUCCGUGCGCGGCCCCUUUAAAUCCUCCGGGACGGCACAGCCCACCGCGGGCCCGAGGGGGGGGGGGGGGGGGGGGGGGGGGGGGGGGGGGGGGGGGGGGGGGGGGGGGGGGGGGGGGGGGGGGGGGGGGGGGGGGGGGGGGGGGGGGAUGUCCCCUCCGCGCCCCUGCAGCGCGCAGCCGGUGCGACCGCGCCCCCCCUCCACCCCUCCGCGAGCAGUGGUACAGCCCACAUGGGUGUCUGUGGGGAGGGAGCGCGGCCAGCGCGGUGUUGGGGCGCUCGGAGCCGCCUCAGGGCGGCGAUCCCUGCUCCGGGACGAUCCCGGGAAAACCGGAGACUCCCGGUGCGCGGGAGAUCCGCGGUGCGCGGGAGAUCCCCGGUGUGCAGAGAUCCCCGGGGCGCGGAGAUCCCCGGGGCGCGGAGCGGAAGAUGGCGCGCGGGCGGCGUUGAGGGUUUUCCCGGAACGGCGGGGGAGGCGCUGCCGGGACCUCGUGGCGCAACGUCUAGAUCUGUAGCAACCUUUGGAACAAAAGAGUUCAGAGUGCAGCAGCUGGAGCCCGGAAUUCAGGAAAAUCCGAAUAUUUGAUGUCUCUGCUGCCAAAUGAGGGAAUUACAAGUUGAUAUAAUCUGAUUUUCUUGGAAUUCACUGCUGACAAACGCAGCAAUUAACUCCAAUCAGUUAAUUACAGCCUCACUCUGCCACCUCCAGCUUUGGUUUGGGGUUGAACUCUGGUUUUCUGGUUGUUUUUUUUUUUGUCGGUGCUGCUCCUGUGGAAAAAGCUGGAAAUUGGGGGUUAUCUCGUUUUUUUAUUAUUUUUAUUAUUUCUAUUUUUUCAUUAUUUUCAUUAUUUACUUUUCUUUUGGCUCCCCUCAGCCCAUCCCGUUCACCUCUCUCGGGUUUAUCCCACCCCUGGGGAUGCUCUGGAUUUCUGCAGGAUCCACAUCCCGCUCUCGCCCUCCUCCUCCAGCCUGGCACCAAAAACAUCCCAAAUUUUAGAGAACUGGGACACCCCUGCUGGGGCAAUUUGGGAAUCUGCCUCCCCCACAUCCCUAAUUUUAGCCCCUGAAAUUCCAGAGCUGUCAGCCAAGAGCGGAGCCUGGCACAGGCAGGGACAGCAGUGCCAGGGGAGUGGGAGCUGAAAAACAAACGGCCCAAAAAUGGGGCUGGAGAGGGGGAAAUUGGGAAAAACGAGGAUUGGUGGGGUUGGGAAAGUCCUGAGGGAAAUGGGGAGGGUUUGGAGAAUCCUGAGGGAAAUGGGGAAGGGUUUGGAGAAUCCUGAGGGAAAUGGGGAAGGGUUUGGAGAAUCCUGAGGGAAAUGGGGAAGGGUUUGGAGAAUCCUGAGGGAAAUGGGGAAGGGUUUGGAGAAUCCUGAGGGAAAUGGGGAAGGGUUUGGAGAAUCCUGAGGGAAAUGGGGAAGGGUUUGGAGAAUCCUGAGGGAAAUGGGGAAGGGUUUGGAGAAUCCUGAGGGAAAUGGGGAAGGGUUUGGAGAAUCCUGAGGGAAAUGGGGAAGGGUUUGGAGAAUCCUGAGGGAAAUGGGGAAGGGUUUGGAGAAUCCUGAGGGAAAUGGGGAAGGGUUUGGAGAAUCCUGAGGGAAAUGGGGAAGGGUUUGGAGAAUCCUGAGGGAAAUGGGGAAGGGUUUGGAGAAUCCUGAGGGAAAUGGGGAAGGGUUUGGAGAAUCCUGAGGGAAAUGGGGAAGGGUUUGGAGAAUCCUGAGGGAAAUGGGGAAGGGUUUGGAGAAUCCUGAGGGAAAUGGGGAAGGGUUUGGAGAAUCCUGAGGGAAAUGGGGAAGGGUUUGGAGAAUCCUGAGGGAAAUGGGGAAGGGUUUGGAGAAUCCUGAGGGAAAUGGGGAAGGGUUUGGAGAAUCCUGAGGGAAAUGGGGAAGGGUUUGGAGAAUCCUGAGGGAAAUGGGGAAGGGUUUGGAGAAUCCUGAGGGAAAUGGGGAAGGGUUUGGAGAAUCCUGAGGGAAAUGGGGAAGGGUUUGGAGAAUCCUGAGGGAAAUGGGGAAGGGUUUGGAGAAUCCUGAGGGAAAUGGGGAAGGGUUUGGAGAAUCCUGAGGGAAAUGGGGAAGGGUUUGGAGAAUCCUGAGGGAAAUGGGGAAGGAUUUUGGGGAUCUCAAAAAUCCCAAAAUCCCCGGGAAUUUUUACUUCGUGUUCCACCUGUGCUCCAGCCAUGACCCAACACCACUGAACUGUCCCCAAAUUCCACAUCCUUAAGUGGCUGAACACUUGCAGGGAUUUCCACUCCAACAUUUCCCUGAGCAGCAGUGAAGUUCAAUUCCAAUAUUCCAAUAUUUGAAACCAUUCCUGUCAAUGGUUUAAGAUUUUCAAACCAUUUCCUUCCCUGAUACCUCAUCCUAACCUUGCCUUGGUUCACAUUCCUGCAUUCGUCCAUGAACUCAACUUUGGGGAUCUGCAAAAGAGGAAAAUUCUGAGGGAUGCAGGAAUUUCUUCAUGGUAACCUUCAGAACAAAUCCAGACAACCAAAAUUGUAGAUUUUCAAGCUGGGUUUGGUUUUGGUUUUUUUUUUAAACUUUUUAAAGCACCAAAAGCUUCAAUAUUGAACCCCCAAAAGAAGGAAAACCAAAUUUCUGUGCAGCUUAAAUGACAAAUUUUGAGGUGGAUCAGGAGUUCAUUCACCCAGCUCUGUUAAAUAUUAGAAAAUCCUAUAAAAUCUGAUUUUACACUGAUUUUUUUUUUUUUUUUUUUACCCGGGGGGGUUUUUUUUUUUUUUUUUACCCACAGCUGCUCCUGGCUCUUAUCCGUGCCUGGGCCAUCAAUGAUUAACUGAGGAGCAAAGUCCCUCUUCCCUUUCUGCUUUUCCUGCAGCUCAUUCCCAGAGCCAGACUCGGGGAUAAAUCCAGGGAAUUUCGUGCCCUGCUCUGGGAUUUAUCCAUUGUUGAGCUCAGGAAGGGGAUGCAGGUGCUGAUCCCAAAAAUCUCUUCUUUAUUCAUCAUCCUGGGAAUGUGGCUCUCAGCUUUUCCUCAGUUGGACACCAACACUAAUUUAUGUUUGAUUUACAUAAUAAUUGUAAUUUUUUAAAAUUGACAUUUUCUAUUUCUAUUUCAUUUCUAUUUCUAUUUCUAUUUCUAUUUCUAUUUCUAUUUCUAUUUCUAUUUCUAUUUCUAUUUCUAUUUCUAUUUCUAUUUCUAUUUCUAUUUCUAUUUCUAUUUCUAUUUCUAUUUCUAUUUCUAUUUCUAUUUCUAUUUCUAUUUCUAUUUCUAUUUCUAUUUCU
This is a long non-coding RNA of Ficedula albicollis (Collared flycatcher), 3463 nucleotides long. The record is from Ensembl. NCBI's taxonomy places the organism in Eukaryota, Metazoa, Chordata, Aves, Passeriformes, Muscicapidae.